GGACCCGCACAAGCGGUGGAGCAUGUGGUUUAAUUCGAUGCAACGCGAAGAACCUUACCUGGUCUUGACAUCCUGCGAACUUUCUAGAGAUAGAUUGGUGCCUUCGGGAACGCAGUGACAGGUGCUGCACGGCUGUCGUCAGCUCGUGUUGUGAAAUGUUGGGUUAAGUCCCGCAACGAGCGCAACCCCUAUUGAUAGUUACCAUCAUUAAGUUGGGUACUCUAUUGAGACUGCCGCUGACAAGGCGGAGGAAGGUGGGGACGACGUCAAGUCAUCAUGGCCCUUACGACCAGGGCUACACACGUGCUACAAUGGGUAUUACAGAGGGCUGCGAAGGUGCGAGCUGGAGCGAAACUCAGAAAGGUACUCUUAGUCCGGAUCGCAGUCUGCAACUCGACUGCGUGAAGCUGGAAUCGCUAGUAAUCG
Molecule: ribosomal RNA, 426 nt
Filed under: uncultured bacterium
Lineage: Bacteria
Description: bacterial SSU rRNA
Rfam family: Bacterial small subunit ribosomal RNA
Source: RNAcentral